Molecule: ribosomal RNA, 468 nt
Filed under: uncultured bacterium
Lineage: Bacteria
Description: partial 16S ribosomal RNA
Rfam family: Bacterial small subunit ribosomal RNA
Source: RNAcentral
GACGAACGCUGGCGGUGUGCCUAACACAUGCAAGUCGAACGGUAAGGCCCUUUCGGGGGUACACUAGUGGUGAACGGGGGAGUAACACGUGAGUAACCUUCCCCCACCUCUGGGACAACAGUCGGAACCGGUUGCUAAUACUGGUUAUGCGCUUUCAAGGCAUCUUGUGGGUUGGAAAGAUUUUUUUUGGUUGGGGAUGGACUCGCGGCCUAUCCGCUUGUUGUUGGGGUAGUGGUACAGCAAGGCCUCGACGGGUAGCCGGCCCGAGUGUGCGGACGGCCCGGUUGGGACUGGGAUGCGGGCCAAACUACGACAGGAGGCGGCAGUGGGGAAUAUUGGACAAUGGACAGAAGUCUGAGGCAGCAAAGGCGCGUGCGGGAUAAAGGCCUUCGGGUUGUAAACAGCUGUCAAUUGUGAAGAAGCUUUUUUGUGACGGUAGCAAUAGAAAAAGCAACGGCUAACUACGUG